Molecule: long non-coding RNA, 2690 nt
Organism: Choloepus didactylus (southern two-toed sloth)
Lineage: Eukaryota; Metazoa; Chordata; Mammalia; Pilosa; Megalonychidae
Exons: 3
Source: RefSeq, a predicted model, not a curated record
GGGCAGAUGACUGAAAGCAAGGGAGAAGUGUCUGCCGUAGUUGGGCUUGACUUGCCAACUGGGCUGGAGACCUAGAGAGAAUGAAAAGGGAAGGGUGAGGCAGUUGGAAGGAAAAGCAAACCAAGGCAUAUCCUUAAAAAGUCACGUCAACUACUCUUUCUGGGCCUCAGUUUUCUCAUCCAUUAAGUGGGAUUAUUGCAGUACCCACCUCACAAGGAUGCUGGGAGGGUUAAAUCCUUAGCCUGUGUCUGGCACUUAGUAAGCCCUUUGUAUUACUAUUACUAUUAUUAUAGUUAUUCCUAUUUAGGAUAGAAGGUGGAAAAAAAUACUGAAAUAAAUUUUUUAGUGUUUGGGAUUAAUUAAAAUUUUCAAGAUUUUCAUAUGAGUUAUUUGCUCUUAUAAAGUACCAGUAAAAAUGAGAUCCCUUGUUAAUUUUACAGCAAAUAAAAAAUAACUUCAAUUGCUUGAUGGCUUUUAGGAGGCAGGCCUUGUAAUAGGUGCUUUCUAUUUCUUUUCACCUUUCAUCCCCAGCUCCUUUCCAUGGUGGGAGGUUUACAGGUGGGGAAACUGAGGCUUAAAGAAACUGAAUCAUUGUGAUAACCAAGCCUAUAGCUGCUCUCUGAUUUUCUGCUAAGUGGGAGAUAAAAGUCUUCCCACUUGCCACCCCCCCCCCCAGUCUGAUUCUGUGCGUGGGAAUCACGAGGAAGAAUGCGAGGGGCUAGAUGGCUUUGUUUUCCACCACGCUUGGUACACAGUAGUUGCAUAAUAAAUAGUUAUGGGAUUGCGUUGAGUUGAAUUGCUCAAGUGAGGAAGGCCUGCGAACCCAGCUCUAACCUGUGACCCUAAUCACUUUGCUUUCCAUCUCCAGAUAAUGACAGCCGCUUGUAUUAAUGUUCCAGAUGCCAGGGAGACACCCUGCCUCAUGGAAGCUACCAGUGAUCGGCUUUGAGAAUGUAAGCAGCUUGCCCAAGAUCAAAUACCCAGCUCUAUCUACAAAGUCUCAGACCUCCCAGUUGAUGCCCAUCUUUGCCUUACCUUCAGGACCCAAAGGAGCUUGAAGAGGGAUCUCAGUCAACCCAGUUUCCCCAUCUGUGACUUCAGUUCACCUCUACAACAUCCCUUCCAAGUGAUCACGCUGCCGACACUCAGCAAGGUCAAGGAUACAACGCAGAGUGUCUCAGGGUCCACACAGGGGGCCAUCGGUAGCUUAGUUUGGCUAGGGCAUGCAUAGAAUGAGAGAGAAUGACAGGAACUAAUGUCGGGAGGCAGGAGAGGGGCAGAUUGUGUAACAAUAAUAAUAAUAACAACAACAACAAUCAUGACUGAAAUAAUAACAGGAAUAAUAGCAAACAUUUCUUAAUCACUUACCGUUUGCCAGGAAGCUUUCCAUGCAGUAUCUCACCUCCCUAAAUUGUCCCCCUGCCCUGUGAUAGAGGUCUUCUUAUUCUCCCCAUUAAAAUGAGGGAGUCCUAGAGAGAUUAAACAACUUAGCCAAGAUCACACAGUGAAGGCCAGAGACAGGGUUUGAACUCUGACUCGCUGACGCCGAAGCUGCGUCACUUCCAUACUACACUCUUCAUAGAAUCCUAAAGCUCGGGAAAGUCAUAGAUCAUCUCAAUAAGCCAUUUAGGUUUUCCAAUAUUAAAACUUUUGAAUAGAGAUGCUGUAAUAGUAUAUCAUAGAAAUGAAAAGUUUGCCUGCCCAAAUUUUCAAAAUUAUAUUACACUACAGAAACCCACUCUGCUCUUUUUGCCUUCUUUUGCAGAGCCCAAUGUACUUGCAAUAAAGGGAAUUGUGAAUCCUGAAUGUUGGUGGUUUUGCACAACUUUUCACUCACCUGAUAUUUUUCCCAGCAGUCAUUCAUAUUACAAUGGUUUUAAAAAAAUUAGUAGGUCAAAUAAGGUAUUGAAAGGGGAGCCAUUACAUAUGCUCAAUGGUUUUCUGUGUUAAAAAUGAUAAACUUGGCAUUCUAUUGUGAAGGAGAAUUAUCAUUCGCAAGUAAUAAGUGAUCGUAUUUGUUAACGCUCCUUCGGUGGGCGUCAGCGCUUUUCUAUGAAUAUUCCCAGAUCAUCAGCAGAAGGUGCUUCCUGGCUUUAUGGUGAGAAAAGUGAACGUGGGUAAUGGCCCCAUGCUGGGUUGAAUGCCCUGCUGCCGCCAUCUUAAAAUUGUUAAUAAAUUUGGAACAAGUGGCUCUGCAUUUUCACUUCGCACUGAGCCCCCCCAAAUUACAAAGCUGAUCCUGCCCAUCUCGGUUCCUCAUUCCUCAUGUGCCCCCAGUGCCACUGGCUUUUCCUGGGAUCCAGGAAUGAGCUCAUCUCCUGAGCCCCAUCCUCGGCCUCCGACCCCCUCCCUGAUCAUAUCCGCCUAUGCUGCCCGGGUGUGGAAACGUCUUUUUCUCCUUGGUUCAGUUGAGAAAGUAACAGCACUUUAUAAAGGGGCUUUUCAUCAGAAAACUUAGAGGAAAACAAAUUUUAAAGCACAAAAAUAAACGGAUGCACACCAGUGUUCAUAGCAGCAUUAUUCACAAUUGCCAAAAGGUGGAAGCAGCUCAAGUGUCCACCGCCAGAUGAAGGAUAAACAAAAUGUGCUCUCUCCGUACAAUGGAGUAUUAUUCGGCUGAAAAAAGGAAUGAAGUUCUGAUACAUGUGGCAACAUGGAUGAACGUAGAAGACAUCAUGUUGAGUGAAAUA